This 229-nucleotide ribosomal RNA is filed under the name uncultured bacterium. Its description in RNAcentral is "partial 16S ribosomal RNA". It matches the Rfam family "Bacterial small subunit ribosomal RNA", at positions 568 to 796 of the family's 1533-position model. The record is from RNAcentral.
UCCGUAGGCGGUUUGGAAAGUCGGGUGUGAAAUCCUACAGCUCAACUGUGGAACUGCACUCGAAACUUCCAGACUGGAGUGUGAGAGGGGUGAAGGGAAUUCCCGGUGUAAGGGUGAAAUCUGCAGAGAUCGGGAAGAACACCAGUCGCGAAGGCGCUUCACUGGCUCACUACUGACGCUGAGGGACGAAAGCUAGGGUAGCAAACAGGAUUAGAUACCCUGGUAGUCC